This 145-nucleotide microRNA precursor is filed under the name Gossypium hirsutum (cotton). RNAcentral's name for it is "MIR7502 microRNA precursor family". It matches the Rfam family "MIR7502 microRNA precursor family". Lineage: Eukaryota; Viridiplantae; Streptophyta; Magnoliopsida; Malvales; Malvaceae. The record is from Rfam by way of RNAcentral.
UAUUAAAAAAAUUAUCAAUUUCUACUAUUAAAAACUAGUGUAGCUAACAAAAUAACCAGACAAUUACACGUGACAUGUCAAGUGUACCUCAUACUGAUGUAUAAGGACCAAUUUUUAACAAUAAAACUUUAUGUAACUUUUAACA